This 409-nucleotide ribosomal RNA is filed under the name Roseivirga sp. RNAcentral's name for it is "bacterial SSU rRNA". It matches the Rfam family "Bacterial small subunit ribosomal RNA", at positions 505 to 916 of the family's 1533-position model. The record is from RNAcentral. Lineage: Bacteria; Pseudomonadati; Bacteroidota; Cytophagia; Cytophagales; Roseivirgaceae.
GUGCCAGCAGCCGCGGUAAUACGGAGGGUGCAAGCGUUGUCCGGAUUUAUUGGGUUUAAAGGGUGCGUAGGCGGGCCUUUAAGUCAGUGGUGAAAGCCUGCAGCUUAACUGUAGAACUGCCAUUGAUACUGGAGGCCUUGAGUGUACUAGAGGUAGGCGGAAUUUAUGGUGUAGCGGUGAAAUGCAUAGAUACCAUAAAGAACACCGAUAGCGUAGGCAGCUUACUGGAGUACAACUGACGCUGAGGCACGAAAGCAUGGGGAGCGAACAGGAUUAGAUACCCUGGUAGUCCAUGCCGUAAACGAUGAUUACUCGAUGUUGGCGAUACACUGUCAGCGUCCAAGCGAAAGCGUUAAGUAAUCCACCUGGGGAGUACGCUCGCAAGAGUGAAACUCAAAGGAAUUGACGG